This 1067-nucleotide long non-coding RNA is filed under the name Marmota monax (woodchuck). Lineage: Eukaryota; Metazoa; Chordata; Mammalia; Rodentia; Sciuridae. The record is from RNAcentral.
CAGAAGACCUGCUGGGCAUUGAUUCAUGGAGAGUGAGUGAGCUUUAUUUGGGUCUGCUAUUAUGCCAGCCACUGCACUAGGCAAUAGAGACUCGACCCAAACAUGACCCCAGGAGAACUAAUAAUUAAUUCAGAGGCUGAGGCAGAAAGUUACGUGUGAAAAUGCUAUUAUGCAGUAAAUAUGCAGUGCUAUUGAGUUCAUAGGAUAGGUGUCUGACUAAGCUCUGAGUCAUGAAAAACAUUCCUCAGAGGCAGGCCAGGCAGAUGGCAGGAGAGGGCAAGAAGGCUGCUACUCCAAACGGAGGGAGCCGUCACUGUGUCUGCAGUACUGUGACUUAGGUUGGGGCUCCACCACCCAGCUGCCCUACUGACUGUGUGCGCUGGGAUUUCAGACUCUUGUAAAUACCAGAGCUCUGCCAGCCAGGAUGUCCCAAAAUGUUUCAAAUCCUCAUCCUUCCUCAGCGCAGUGGGUUACAGCUUUGUUCACAUGGUGGGUUAAAUGUCCAGUCCUGGAAAGCCUGAGGCUGAGGCAUGUCUUUCAGCAGCCACAGCUCUCAUGUUCUUGCCCUGAACAUCGUUUCACACCUCCCUGACUUCUCACACCACCCUCAAAAAUGUAUGUGAUGGGGGAUGGAUGUUCCCUAUCUUUGAACUCAGCCUAAGCUACUUUAUAUAUUAUUAGGGACAGGCGUAAAUCCUACAUCCUGCUGUGAAAGUCAUUCGGUUGUCUGUAUGGUCCAUUUUCCCAGCAGGGUGACUCUGUCACACAGAGCAAGCAAAAGCCUGGGAAAAGACUUGCAAGGAAUUAUUGAAAAGAUUUUGGCUGAAAAAUUUCCUUGACUUUUACAGUUUCCAUGGUCUCUGCCCUUGUUUCUAAGUGACAAAUGCAUCUCCAACAGAUACUUGACAGAAAGCCUGCAUACAUAUAUGUGUGUACAUAUGUAUGUGUGUACAUAUAUAUGUACACACAUAUAUAUAAUUAUAUAUAAUAUAAUAAUAUAUGCAUUAUAUAACAUAUGUAUAUAUUGUAUACAUAAUUAUGUGUAUAAUACAACAUAUAUAAUAAAA